Molecule: ribosomal RNA, 253 nt
Filed under: uncultured bacterium
Lineage: Bacteria
Description: partial 16S ribosomal RNA
Rfam family: Bacterial small subunit ribosomal RNA
Source: RNAcentral
UACGGAGGAUGCAAGCGUUAUCCGGAAUGACUGGGCGUAAAGCGUCCGUAGGUGGCAAUGUAAGUCUGCUGUCAAAGCGUCUGGCUCAACCAGAUAAAGGCAGUGGAAACUACAUAGCUAGAGUAAGGUAGGGGUAGAGGGAAUUCCUGGUGUAGCGGUGAAAUGCGUAGAUAUCUGGAGGAACACCGGUGGCGAAGGCGGCAUCCUGGACCAACACUGACGCUGAGGAGCGAAAGCCAGGGGAGCAAACGGG